Molecule: ribosomal RNA, 358 nt
Filed under: uncultured Archaeospora
Lineage: Eukaryota; Fungi; Glomeromycota; Glomeromycetes; Archaeosporales; Archaeosporaceae
Description: partial 28S ribosomal RNA
Source: RNAcentral
GAGAGUAAAACAGUACGUGAAAUUGUUGAAAGGGAAACGAUUGAAGUCAGUCAUGCCGGCGUUGGAUUCAGCUUGCUUCGCGGAGCUUGCGCAUUUCCUCGCAUGGCAGGUCAGCGUCAGUUUUGCGCGGCGUGAAAAGGCUCGGGUAAGGUAGCUCUCUUCGGGGAGUGUUAUAGACCUGGGCAAAUGCGCAGCGCGGGACUGAGGAUUGCAGCGGACACCUCUUCGGGGGCGCGGCGACCGAACCCUGCUCGGCCACCCUCGUUCGAUAGCGUGCUAGCGGACGCGGGAGCGGCAGUGCACCGGAACAGGCAAGCCAGCGGUUCGCUUAGGAUGCUGACGUAAUGGCUUUAAACGA